Non-coding RNA from Arachis ipaensis, 366 nucleotides. Lineage: Eukaryota; Viridiplantae; Streptophyta; Magnoliopsida; Fabales; Fabaceae. The record is from RefSeq and is a predicted model, not a curated record.
CCAUCCGAGCUUCGAUCGCCGCACCGUUUACGGCCACGCGUUCACCGCGCCAAGCUCUACGUUUCUACCAGAACAAUUUCAUAGAUGCAGGUCGAGAGGCAUCUCGUUAGGCGUCUGGACCCCUGAGGCGAAGUGGUUACUGUGUUAUUUUGUUGUACAUUGAUGUAUAUAUAUGUACUUAGCUCCCUCUCUCCGCAUAACUUAUUCUUUUUUAUCUUCUUAGAGGUUUAUAGAGAGGCAGGAUUUUGUUUAUGUAUAUUUAGGUUUUGGAUAUAUGUGUGUGUGUGUAAAUAUUCUUCGGCCAGUCUUGACAUCGCGGGCUGAGUUAGGAGCUUGUUAUUUUGUAUCUUUGGCACUCUAUUCCUA